This 403-nucleotide ribosomal RNA is filed under the name Verrucomicrobiota bacterium. RNAcentral describes it as "Verrucomicrobia bacterium partial 16S ribosomal RNA". It matches the Rfam family "Bacterial small subunit ribosomal RNA", at positions 355 to 776 of the family's 1533-position model. Lineage: Bacteria; Pseudomonadati; Verrucomicrobiota. The record is from RNAcentral.
UGGGGAAUAUUGCACAAUGGAGGUAACUCUGAUGCAGCGACGCCGCGUGAACGAAGAAGGCUUUCGAGUCGUAAAGUUCUUUUAUAUGGGAAGAUAAUGACGGUACCAUAAGAAAAAGCCCCGGCUAACUACGUGCCAGCAGCCGCGGUAAUACGUAGGGGGCUAGCGUUGUCCGGAAUCACUGGGCGUAAAGGGUUCGCAGGCGGAAAUGCAAGUCAGGUGUAAAAGGCAGUAGCUUAACUACUGUAAGCAUUUGAAACUGCAUAUCUUGAGAAGAGUAGAGGUAAGUGGAAUUUUUAGUGUAGCGGUGAAAUGCGUAGAUAUUAAAAAGAAUACCGGUGGCGAAGGCGACUUACUGGGCUCAUUCUGACGCUGAGGAACGAAAGCGUGGGUAGCAAACAGG